RNAcentral lists this ribosomal RNA (427 nucleotides) under uncultured bacterium. RNAcentral's name for it is "bacterial SSU rRNA". It matches the Rfam family "Bacterial small subunit ribosomal RNA", at positions 355 to 774 of the family's 1533-position model. The record is from RNAcentral.
UGGUGAAUAUUGGACAAUGGGCGCAAGCCUGAUCCAGCCAUGCCGCGUGCGGGAAGAAGGCCUUCGGGUUGUAAACUGCUUUUGUACGGAACGAAACGGUCUUUUUUAAUACAAGGGGCUAAUGACGGUACCGUAAGAAUAAGCACCGGCUAACUACGUGCCAGCAGCCGCGGUAAUACGUAGGGUGCAAGCGUUAAUCGGAAUUACUGGGCGUAAAGCGUGCGCAGGCGGUUAUGCAAGACAGAUGUGAAAUCCCCGGGCUCAACCUGGGAACUGCAUUUGUGACUGCAUAGCUAGAGUACGGUAGAGGGUGAUGGAAUUCCGCGUGUAGCAGUGAAAUGCGUAGAUAUGCGGAGGAACACCGAUGGCGAAGGCAAUCCCCUGGACCUGUACUGACGCUCAUGCACGAAAGCGUGGGGAGCAAACA